This is a non-coding RNA of Ictidomys tridecemlineatus (thirteen-lined ground squirrel), 3225 nucleotides long. The record is from RefSeq and is a predicted model, not a curated record. NCBI's taxonomy places the organism in Eukaryota, Metazoa, Chordata, Mammalia, Rodentia, Sciuridae.
UAUGGUGAGAUCAAUGUGAUCAAAUUGGCUUCUUUUGCUUGGAAACAUUUUCUGAGAUAGAUAAACAGCAAUCUCAUAUUAUGUUCAAUUAACUUAGACAUUAGUUCUGAAUGACUGUCAUAGCUCAAAAUAUAUUAAUCCAAAUGCAAGGAGUAAAUUGUUAACUGAAGUAAUGAAAUCAUAAUAGGGAAUAAUUUCUGCUUUUUAUUAUGAAAAAUGCUGAAUAUAGACAAAAUUAGAAAGUUAAAAAUGUUGAAAAUCUAUGCAUUAUACAUCUAACCCAACUUCCACAAUCACCAACUCAUGGCUAGACCUUCUCCUUUUUACCUCAACUAGAUGAUAUUGAAGCAAUCUCCAGAAUCACAUAGACUUAUUUGACAUAUUUCAUCAUGCAUUUUUACAAGAUGAGAACUCAAAAAAAGAAAACUUAUAUACCAUUUUUUUGGCUUUUGUAUUUCUUAAAUAGACACAUAAAACUUUAUUCAGGAAAAAAUUAUAUAAAUUGAAUAAAAUGCUAGGAAGUUGGAGUAACACGAAAGUUAUGGGAAGAAGAUUAAAAGUUUAUUGUAUAAAUGUUGCAUAACAUUUCCACAUUUCAGGGAGAGAGGGAUCUGUUUUGUAAUUAAGUAUAAUUACAAAAAAUAGUAAAAGCAUAAUGUUUGAAGUUGCAAAAAGAUAUUUUUGAAAAAACAUUUAAGAAACAAAUGUGUAUUUCAGGAGAAUUUGAUUAUUUUCAAGUCAGUUACAAUAUCUCCAAAGUUCUGGAUAGCUCACCAAGAAAGAAAUUUCUUUUCUUUGUUUCUUUUCCAAGUAAAAAAAAAAUAUCUCAAGCAAAUCAAUGAUGGUGACCAGAGAAGAGUUAGGGAAGAUAGCAUAUCCAGGUGAGCAAGGGGAAGGGAGGGGAUCAGAACUAAAAAAAAAAAAUCUAAGGAAAUGUUCCUUGCCAAGAUUUCAGCAUAAAAUUUCAAGUCCAUGAUAUGUAUUUGUAGUAUCAGGACAUCCAGAAUAUCAUAGGCUAUUCUUAACUGUGCAAAAAACUAAGUUAUUUAGUUAGCGCAAAAGCUUUGGUAUUAUGUUGUUUAUCAUUCCCUAAAAGAAAAAAAAAUUGCAUGUCAUUGUUCAUUCCUUUCCUCCCCAAAGCAGGUCCACCAUUUAGUUAUCUUUCGGCUUCCUCUAAGGUAGUACCACUGCCCUGAGUUUAUUUGUCUGAUGGAGGCGGACAGGGAAAGACACUGGUGUCUGACAGCAGAAUCUGAAUUCCCACAGAAAUUACUCUCCAAUUGACUUGGUUGUCCUAAUUUUGUUUUGUGCUUCAGAGACUCAGAGAAAUAUGCUGAAAUGGUCACCAUUCACUGGUUGUCACAGAAAUGACAAUGAUUACAAGGUAGGAAGGAUGUUGAACACCAGACAAGGAAGAUGAGGUCUCAGUGCAACAGGUGACCCUCUAAUAACUCACAAAGUAGUCUGUACCUUGUGUAUAAGCAAGUCGAUGGCUGGGGGUAUUGAUUACUGCUACCUACUUAGCUUGCAGAUAAAUGAUGCAGGUAGCUUUGAUUCAGUCUGGCUCAUCAAAGGACCGCAUCCUCUGGUCAUGACCAUGGUGACCUCUUUCAGUUGUGAGGGCUUCAAUUGCAACUUUGGGGUGUUGAAGGGUGGGAAUGAGAAGUUUCAGAUGAGAGAGAAGACCUAUCAACCAGGACAUUUUUGACAGAGACAAAGAGAAGUUGCAUAGAAACUAUAUAUCAUUUGAGAUCUAGAAGUGCAGAUAUAUCAAAGAUAUAAAAUGCUUCCUUUAAGUGAACAGGUGAAAGUUCUUGAAUUAAUAAUGAAUGAAAAUAUUUAACACUGAAGUUGCUAAGAAAGAAUCUUUUAUAUGUGAAAUUGUGAAGAAGGAAAAAGAAAAUAAUGAUAGUUUUGCUGUCACACCUCAAAUUGCAAAGUUAUGACCACAGUGUAUUAUAACUGCUGAGUCAAUAUGGAAAAGGCAUUAAGUGAUAGGUUCAGUAUUAUCGAAGUUUUAGACAUCUGUUCUUGGGAUGUGUCCCCCAAGAAUAAGGAGGAGCUACUGUAUUAACAGUUCCAUCUACCAGUUGGGAGACAUUUUUGUUGGAAUUUGGUUCCUAAAGUCUCCAGGUUAAUUGACAUCAUCCAUUUGUUCUUUUAGACUGAUUAGACUUAAAACUCACCCAAGAUCUUUCUUUUGAAUAUUUUCUAAGUUGGUGUGGUGGUGCACAUCUGUAAUCCAAAUUGAGGCUCAAGCGAGAGGAUCACUUAAGCCCUGGAGUCCAGCCUGCAAUCUGGGCACACAUAAAUGACAUUUUUCAGCUUCUCUUAAAGUAAUGAGUAGCCACGUCAUCAUGUGCUGCUGGCCAAUGGUGUGUAUGGAGAAUUGGUUUGUAACCAUGCUUGAGUCAAGAGCCAGUGUAACUUCCUCCACCUUUUGCUUCUUCAUCUGCUGCAUUGAUAUCGGGUAGCCAUGUGUACCAGACAAUAUAGCUGGAGUAGAAGCUGCCUACAGGAGGAAAACUUCCAAGGAGAAACACGCAGCCUGCAUUUUACUGUUUUUUUCUGGCUUUAAGAGACUAAAACUUGGGGCUGGGAUGUCGCUCAAGCGGUAGCGCGCUCGCCUGGCAUGCGUGCGGCCCGGGUUCGAUCCUCAGCAUCACAUACCAACAGAGUUGUUGUGUCCGCUGAGAACUAAAAAAUAAAUAUUAAAAAUUCUCUCUCUCUCCUCUCUCACUCUCUCUUUAAAAAAAAAAAGAGACUAAAACUUUGUGUUUGGUUGUUACAGCAGCUGUCAUGAAUUACCAUGAUAUAUUGGUAAUCUAUUAAUAUGUCUUAUCUAAAUUAUCCAAUGUAGUGCUCAGUUAUUUAUUGUAUUUCAUUGUUAUUAUUCUGAAGAAUGUUGUAUAGCAAAAUGAAACUCAAUAUUAUAUAUUUGAAAAGAUUAUCAUAGAGAUUGUAGCUUGGUAAAUUGUAUUGUAUGCCCUAUUAAGAAUUCAGAGAAGAAAUUUCUCUUAGUUCUAUUAAUAAUAAAAGAUCACCUACUUAUGUUCUUGAUCUGCUCUUAUCUCAUGGACACUCUGAAUCUUGUAACCGAUUGUGUUUUCCUCAGGGCCAACUUUGUGGCUCAUGUCUAGUAACCAGAUAAGCUUUAUAAUGUACAGGUGCUUUUUGACUUGCAGUGGGAUUAUAUGCCAAUAAAACCUUCAUAUAUUGAAAAUA